CCUACGGGUGGCAGCAGUGGGGAAUAUUGCGCAAUGGGCGAAAGCCUGACGCAGCGACGCCGCGUGAGGGAUGAAGGUCUUCGGAUCGGAAACCUCUGUCAGCAGGGAAGAACGGUCACUGUGCUAAUCAGCAGUGAAUUGACGGUACCUGCAAAGGACGCACCGGCUAACUCCGUGCCAGCAGCCUCGGGAAUACGGAGGGUGCGAGCGUUAAUCGGAAUUACUGGGCGUAAAGCGCUCGUAGGCGGUAUGUCAAGUCAAGGGUGAAAUCCCCGCGCUCAACGUGGGAACUGCCUUUGAAACUGGCAAACUGGAGUGUGUGAGAGGAUAGUGGAAUUCCAGGUGUAGGAGUGAAAUCCGUAGAUAUCUGGCGGAACAUCGGUGGCGAAGGCGACUAUCUGGCACAUAACUGACGCUGAGGAGCGAAAGCGUGGGUAGCAAACAGGAUUAGAUACCCUUGUAGUC
Molecule: ribosomal RNA, 465 nt
Filed under: uncultured bacterium
Lineage: Bacteria
Description: partial 16S ribosomal RNA
Rfam family: Bacterial small subunit ribosomal RNA
Source: RNAcentral